ACUCCUACGGGAGGCAGCAGUGGGGAAUAUUGCACAAUGGGCGCAAGCCUGAUGCAGCCAUGCCGCGUGUGUGAAGAAGGCCUUCGGGUUGUAAAGCACUUUCAGUUGUGAGGAAGGUGGUGUCGUUAAUAGCGGCAUCAUUUGACGUUAGCAACAGAAGAAGCACCGGCUAACUCCGUGCCAGCAGCCGCGGUAAUACGGAGGGGUGCGAGCGUUAAUCGGAAUUACUGGGCGUAAAGCGCAUGCAGGUGGUUUGUUAAGUCAGAUGUGAAAGCCCGGGGCGUCAACCUCGGAACUGCAUUUGAAACUGGCAGACUAGAGUACUGUAGAGGGGGUAGGAAUUUCAGGUGUAGCGGU
Molecule: ribosomal RNA, 357 nt
Filed under: uncultured bacterium
Lineage: Bacteria
Description: bacterial SSU rRNA
Rfam family: Bacterial small subunit ribosomal RNA
Source: RNAcentral